UAAAAGGGGCGGCGUGCUUAACACAUGCAAGUCGAACGAUGAACUGGAGCUUGCUCCAGGGAUUAGUGGCGAACGGGUGAGUAACACGUGAGUAACCUGCCCUUGACUCUGGGAUAAGCGCUGGAAACGGCGUCUAAUACCGGAUACGAGCUUCAGCCGCAUGGCUAGGAGUUGGAAAGAAUUUCGGUCAAGGAUGGACUCGCGGCCUAUCAGCUAGUUGGUGAGGUAAUGGCUCACCAAGGCGACGACGGGUAGCCGGCCUGAGAGGGUGACCGGCCACACUGGGACUGAGACACGGCCCAGACUCCUACGGGAGGCAGCAGUGGGGAAUAUUGCACAAUGGGCGCAAGCCUGAUGCAGCAACGCCGCGUGAGGGAUGACGGCCUUCGGGUUGUAAACCUCUUUUAGUAGGGAAGAAGCGAAAGUGACGGUACCUGCAGAAAAAGCACCGGCUAACUACGUGCCAGCAGCCGCGGUAAUACGUAGGGUGCAAGCGUUGUCCGGAAUUAUUGGGCGUAAAGAGCUCGUAGGCGGUUUGUCGCGUCUGCUGUGAAAUCUGGGGGCUCAACCCCCAGCCUGCAGUGGGUACGGGCAGACUAGAGUGCGGUAGGGGAGAUUGGAAUUCCUGGUGUAGCGGUGGAAUGCGCAGAUAUCAGGAGGAACACCGAUGGCGAAGGCAGAUCUCUGGGCCGUAACUGACGCUGAGGAGCGAAAGCAUGGGGAGCGAACAGGAUUAGAUACCCUGGUAGUCCAUGCCGUAAACGUUGGGAACUAGAUGUGGGGGCCAUUCCACGGUCUCCGUGUCGCAGCUAACGCAUUAAGUUCCCCGCCUGGGGAGUACGGCCGCAAGGCUAAAACUCAAAGGAAUUGACGGGGGCCCGCACAAGCGGCGGAGCAUGCGGAUUAUUUCGAUGCAACGCGAAGAACCUUACCAAGGCUUGACAUAUACCGGAAACGUCCAGAGAUGGUCGCCCCGCAAGGUCGGUAUACAGGUGGUGCAUGUUUGUCGUCAGCUCGUGUCGUGAGAUUUUGGGUUAAGUCCCGCAACGAGCGCAACCCUCGUUUUAUGUUGCCAGCACGUAAUUGUU
This 1088-nucleotide ribosomal RNA is filed under the name Frigoribacterium sp. EP_L_54. RNAcentral describes it as "bacterial SSU rRNA". It matches the Rfam family "Bacterial small subunit ribosomal RNA", at positions 30 to 1133 of the family's 1533-position model. The record is from RNAcentral. Lineage: Bacteria; Bacillati; Actinomycetota; Actinomycetes; Micrococcales; Microbacteriaceae.